AUGGUCGAUCCGUCGGCGAAAAUCCAACGGGCGGACCUCCCGGAAGACGUCGUCCUCGAGGUGCUCGUACGUCUCGCUAAUGCAGCCGCCCUCCACCGUUGCGCCACUGCGUGCAAGCGGUGGCGCGCCCUCGCGGCCGACCCCUCCUUCGUCCGCCGGCGCCACCACGUAAUGAUGGCCGCCGUCGGCGUAUACGAGGCCGAGUGGGCGCUCUCCAAGGUGCUGCGACGGCCAGACGUCGAUCCAAACCAGAGCCGGCUGCUGCUAGCCGCUAGGAUGGUGCAGGGCGGCCCCAUUCCGAGGCUCUUCCCGGAGCUGGAGCAGGCUGGCGGCAACGGCGUGCAGAACGAGAGGGUGGUGGCCGUCCUCAUUGAUGCCGAGGCGGGUGUUGAGAAGGUGGCCGCGGUCCGGUACAUCAACAGCAACAUGGCCUACCGGAUCUUUGGGCGUGGGUGGAGUGAAUUCGUUAGGGAGACCCGUAUCUCCCAUGGAGACCGUGUCGACCUCUACGUCGGCAGACGCGGGGCCGGCGAGCGCUGCCUACUCUUCUUCAAUAGUAAGGGCGCCCAAGGUUGA
RNAcentral lists this ribosomal RNA (576 nucleotides) under Triticum aestivum (bread wheat). Its description in RNAcentral is "partial small subunit ribosomal RNA". Lineage: Eukaryota; Viridiplantae; Streptophyta; Magnoliopsida; Poales; Poaceae. The record is from RNAcentral.